CUACGGGGUGCUGCAGUGAGGAAUUUUGCGCAAUGGGGGAAACCCUGACGCAGCAACGCCGCGUGAGUGAUGAAGGCUUUCGAGUCGUAAAGCUCUGUCAAGUGGGAAGAACCUACUAAGUGCCAAUACCGCUUAGUACUGACGGUACCACUGAAGGAAGCACCGGCUAACUCCGUGCCAGCAGCCGCGGUAAUACGGGGGGUGCAAGCGUUACUCGGAAUUAUUGGGCGUAAAGGGCGCGCAGGCGGCCAGGUAAGUCAGAUGUGAAAGCCCGGGGCUCAACCCCGGAAGUGCAUUUGAAACUACUUGGCUUGAGUAUGGGAGAGGGAAGUGGAAUUCCUGGUGUAGAGGUGAAAUUCGUAGAUAUCAGGAGGAACACCGGUGGCGAAGGCGACUUCCUGGACCAAUACUGACGCUGAGGCGCGAAGGCGUGGGUAGCAAACAGGAUUAGAUACCCUUGUAGUC
RNAcentral lists this ribosomal RNA (465 nucleotides) under uncultured bacterium. RNAcentral's name for it is "partial 16S ribosomal RNA". It matches the Rfam family "Bacterial small subunit ribosomal RNA", at positions 339 to 795 of the family's 1533-position model. The record is from RNAcentral.